UACAGAGGUCCCAAGCGUUGUUCGGAUUCACUGGGCGUAAAGGGUGCGUAGGUGGUCGGGUAAGUCUGAUGUGAAAUCUCUGAGCUCAGCUCAGAAAUGGCAUUGGAUACUAUUCGGCUCGAGGGUUGGAGGGGGGACUGGAAUUCUCGGUGUAGCAGUGAAAUGCGUAGAUAUCGGGAGGAAUACCUAUGGCGAAGGCAGGUUACUGGGCCAUUACUGACGCUGAGCUGCGAAAGCUAGGGGAGCAAACAGG
RNAcentral lists this ribosomal RNA (253 nucleotides) under uncultured prokaryote. Its description in RNAcentral is "partial 16S ribosomal RNA". It matches the Rfam family "Bacterial small subunit ribosomal RNA", at positions 524 to 776 of the family's 1533-position model. The record is from RNAcentral.